RNAcentral lists this unclassified non-coding RNA (364 nucleotides) under fungal sp. RNAcentral's name for it is "partial internal transcribed spacer region". The stretch from base 1 to 46 matches the Rfam family "Eukaryotic small subunit ribosomal RNA", at positions 1786 to 1831 of the family's 1831-position model. The record is from RNAcentral. Lineage: Eukaryota; Fungi.
AAGUCGUAACAAGGUUUCCGUAGGUAAACCUGCGGAAGGAUCAUUAACACGUAUCCAAACGUGAAAACCCCCCCCGUGAACAUUCAUCCUGCUCUUGUAACCCGUGAAGCUUGCAAUCUCUGGUAAAUCAUAGCCCGAAAAGUAGUUUUGAUUCAGAGACCUCUGGCCCGUGCGAAUAUUGGAACAGUUACAAUUUUGAGCGCCUUGUUUCCCCAAGCAGUCAGUGUCUGAAAGUGUCAUUGAUUGUGCAAGGAUAACGCUUCACGAUUCUUGUAGACCGCAUCUCGCGGGCAGGAGCUAGGCCAAAGGGUCCCCAUGCCCCCUUACAACCCCCGAACAACUGUUAAUGGAUAUCUUGGUUCUC